UAGGGAAUCUUCCACAAUGGGCGAAAGCCUGAUGGAGCAACGCCGCGUGUGUGAUGAAGGCUUUCGGGUCGUAAAGCACUGUUGUAUGGGAAGAACAGCUAGAAUAGGAAAUGGUUUUAGUUUGACGGUACCAUACCAGAAAGGGACGGCUAAAUACGUGCCAG
This 164-nucleotide ribosomal RNA is filed under the name uncultured bacterium. RNAcentral's name for it is "partial 16S rRNA". It matches the Rfam family "Bacterial small subunit ribosomal RNA", at positions 355 to 511 of the family's 1533-position model. The record is from RNAcentral.